CCUGCCCGGUGGUUCCGGCCUCUGGCGCCUGGAUGUUUCUAGAGAACAACUUUUUAUUUACAAGUCUGUGAGGCUCUCGGCUGUUUCGCGGCCUCUGGGUUUCGUUGGGAUCUCGCCGGCCCUCCAGCCCACAUUCUUGGAUUCCAGGAAAACCAAAGGAACAAACAUCAUGGACAGAAAUAUUUAGGAAAUGCUAUUAUGCAGAAGCAUCACUUGUUUCAGAAGUCCAGUAUCUGGUACACUUAACACUAGAGCGACUGUUUAUUUCCAAAGUCACCCAAGUUUUAUUCAUGCUGAUGAUGUGGUUUUGUUUGUAAUAAAUAUUACAACCGGUUUCUGAACAUAG
Long non-coding RNA from Tupaia belangeri chinensis (Chinese tree shrew), 346 nucleotides. RefSeq lists it as uncharacterized. NCBI's taxonomy places the organism in Eukaryota, Metazoa, Chordata, Mammalia, Scandentia, Tupaiidae. The record is from RefSeq and is a predicted model, not a curated record. The transcript has 2 exons.